GCCUCGGUAGCAUAGACCGGUCAAUGCGCUCGCCUCGUAAGCGAGAGAUCGCGGGUCCAAAUCCCGCCCGAGGCU
RNAcentral lists this transfer RNA (75 nucleotides) under Nitrososphaerota archaeon. RNAcentral describes it as "tRNA-Thr". It matches the Rfam family "tRNA". Rfam says of the family: Transfer RNA (tRNA) molecules are approximately 80 nucleotides in length. Their secondary structure includes four short double-helical elements and three loops (D, anti-codon, and T loops). Further hydrogen bonds mediate the characteristic L-shaped molecular structure. tRNAs have two regions of fundamental functional importance: the anti-codon, which is responsible for specific mRNA codon recognition, and the 3' end, to which the tRNAs corresponding amino acid is attached (by aminoacyl-tRNA synthetases). tRNAs cope with the degeneracy of the genetic code in two manners: having more than one tRNA (with a specific anti-codon) for a particular amino acid; and 'wobble' base-pairing, i.e. permitting non-standard base-pairing at the 3rd anti-codon position. RNAcentral also lists the same sequence under 1 other name. The record is from RNAcentral. Lineage: Archaea; Thermoproteati; Nitrososphaerota.